RNAcentral lists this ribosomal RNA (216 nucleotides) under Glomeromycotina sp. RNAcentral describes it as "partial small subunit ribosomal RNA". The stretch from base 40 to 216 matches the Rfam family "Eukaryotic small subunit ribosomal RNA", at positions 686 to 864 of the family's 1831-position model. Lineage: Eukaryota; Fungi; Glomeromycota. The record is from RNAcentral.
GGGUCAGUAGGUUGGUCUUGCCACCGGUACGUACUGGUCUCACUGAUUCCUCCUUCCUGAAGAACCGUAAUGCCAUUAAUUUGGUGUUGCGGGGAAACAGGACUGUUACUUUGAAAAAAUUAGAGUGUUUAAAGCAAGCUAACGCUUGAAUACAUCAGCAUGGAAUAAUGAAAUAGGACGAUCGAUCCUAUUUUGUUGGUUUCUAGGAUUGACGUA